Molecule: ribosomal RNA, 350 nt
Filed under: uncultured bacterium
Lineage: Bacteria
Description: bacterial SSU rRNA
Rfam family: Bacterial small subunit ribosomal RNA
Source: RNAcentral
GGACCCGCACAAGUAGUGGAGCAUGUGGUUUAAUUCGAAGAUACGCGCAGAACCUUACCAACACUUGACAUGUUCGUCGCGACUUUAAGAGAUUAAAGUUUUCGGUUCGGCCGGACGAAACACAGGUGCUGCAUGGCUGUCGUCAGCUCGUGUCGUGAGAUGUUGGGUUAAGUCCCGCAACGAGCGCAACCCUCACUUUUAGUUGCCAUCAUUAAGUUGGGCACUCUGAAAGAACUGCCAGUGAUAAGCUGGAGGAAGGUGGGGAUGACGUCAAGUCCUCAUGGCCCUUACGUGUUGGGCUACACACGUGCUACAAUGGUAUCUACAACAGGAAGCAAGACGGCGACGUC